CUUGAUGACCAUAGUAAGUCGGUCCCACCCCUUCCCAUCCCGAACAGGACCGUGAAACGACUCUACGCCGAUGAUAGUGCUGCAACCAGUGUG
RNAcentral lists this ribosomal RNA (93 nucleotides) under Duganella sp. sic0402. Lineage: Bacteria; Pseudomonadati; Pseudomonadota; Betaproteobacteria; Burkholderiales; Oxalobacteraceae. The record is from RNAcentral.